Tympanuchus pallidicinctus (lesser prairie-chicken) is the source of this 3537-nucleotide long non-coding RNA. RefSeq lists it as uncharacterized. The record is from RefSeq and is a predicted model, not a curated record. Lineage: Eukaryota; Metazoa; Chordata; Aves; Galliformes; Phasianidae. The transcript is spliced from 4 exons.
ACAUUUCCCCAGAGAGAUAUUGGUAGAAAUGGCCCUCGUUAUUCCUUUAGAGUGUUUCUGACCACCACAUUUUGUUCUUUUUGAUAUAACAGUAUGCUAAAUGCCCAGAUGGUUCCUGCUGACAGUGGUGCUGCUGGUAGAUUACUGCUGCCCAUCCAUUCUCCAGGCACUGCACACCCAGGGCCACUGGGAACAGCAAGGCUGUGAGACCACCAGGUCCUUCUGCUGCCAUCAUCAUUGCACCUCUCCUGCUCAUGCUGCACCUGGUUUCCUUAAGCUCACCGAAGAAAAGCCACCGACUGUUCCUGGGGAGAUGCCAGCUUUGUGUGGCUGCUGGGACGCCUUCUGCCAGGGGUGCAUCACACCUUCCUGUUGUCUUAUCCUUCUGGCACCUGGACUUUGGUUUCAGGGCUGGGCUGAAGCCUGGGAGCUGCUGCACCCGUCUGCUGCCACACGCGGUAGGAAGCAUCACCUCCUGAGCUGCACUUUGGGGAAUUCACCACUGAAGAUGUGUCUCUGGUGCUCGGAGUGCCACUAAACCCCCUUCCCACCCCUGGAAGGACAGACAGACAGACAGCAGUGCAUUUCAGCAGGCAGAACUGCAGCUGCACGGCUCCUCCUGCAGCCUCAGCGCGGGGUUGGUGGGGUGCUGGGAGCUGCUGCCCUCAGUAAGCGGGAUGGGAAGAGGAGGUGACACAUCACCGUGCUGUGACUCAGGAGAAAGGCCGAGCCCUGAGGGCCUGGAAAGAGUUAAUGAAGGAAAAGCUUGUCUGGCCAAGGGGCUGGUGUGGCUCCAGGAGAGCCGUGACUCAGAGAUGGAGCAUCCUGCCAGAGCACCGAGCUCCUCAUCCUCAGCUCCUCCUCUCCCAGCACAGCGAUGUGAAUGUGUUCAGCAUCGUGGCUGAGGGUUUGUCCCAUACAGCACCUGCUCUUCCCACUCAGCUCCACACUCUUGGCUUGCGUAAGAAACUCCUUACCUCAUAGUCUGUGGGUAGGACCUGGCACAUCUGGCUGUAUCGUGUCGGUCAGCGGUGCACAGCCCUUGGUCAUCUCAUUGAGGCUCUCUACAGGACAGGAGAAGGUUAACAGGAUGAUUUACAAGAGUAAGGAAAAGGACAGGAACAGAUGGACUGGGUGAGUUAUUCAAAGGUUUGACCAGAGUGUGACCAGCUUGCGCUCAAAAUGAAGCGUGGAGCAACGAGAUUUGGUGGCAGUGUCACAAACAGCCCGUGCUCAACGACACACAAUCCUCUGUCCCAGGGGCAUGUUAAUAGUUCUGUAUAAAAUGGAUGUUUUCCUUCUCCUCAGCUCAUUGCCCCCUGCCCAAUGACCAAUGAGGGAUCCCACGAAGCACCGACAUGAAGGCAGCAGCGAUGCAGCAGAGCAGGGUAGGAUGUGUGGUCCUGGCAAUAAGUGGAAUUACACCGCUUUGAACCCAGUCUGGCAGAGCAUAAACAUAUGGAUUAGCACCAACGCAACAGAUCAAAACCCAAGGAGGAGGGCUCAAACAAGUCGUAAUUUGUAACAACAACAAAACUGCAGGGUUUCAUCACUUCAGCUCCCAACCCUCACACCUCAACCUCGCCGCAAGGAAAACAGCUGCCUCCCUUUUCUCUCACAUCUGUCCUAAAUAUCCCGUUGGGGCAGCCAGCCUGGGAAGCACUGCCUGUUGGGUGGAACACCGCUGUCUGGAGCUGUGCGUUGUCAGAGCAAUCACUGUGGGGUGUGGACAAGAAAAGGACACACUGUUCAAUGCCGGAUCUGUUUGGAGAGUAGAAAACUGUUCCCGUGCAACCCUUCUUUUGCAGCAGCCAGGCUGCAGGGUGCUGCAUGCACAGAGCUGCAGGUCCAGCUGCGAGUGCCCCAACACUGCUGUGCUGUUUGGCUGCAGCUGCUGCUGCAACAGAGGUGACUGCAGAUCGACAAGGCAGGGCGACAGCACAACUGUAGGCACCUUCAUCUGCUGCAUGCAUAAUCCUUGGUGCUGAACCCUCUCCAAACUCAUCCCCAGGUCUUAUCUUUUCUAAACUGGGUAUUUAUUCAUGUGGUUGUUUUAUGUAAACUGCAAAGAGCCUCAUUAAAUGGAAACCUUCCCUCGUGAGCUUCAUUAUUAAGGUGGAAUGGCACUCGGAACGCGCUGAGCAAAAUCCAUGAGCUUUGGUGUUACUUGGGGAAGGAAUGCUCAAUGCUGGCAGCCCGGGGCUGAGCCCACCUGUCACCCCCAUUCAGGAGCAUGCUCUGCUCUGGGAUGAGGCACUGCAAUGGGCACUGUGUGCAGGAAGCUCCCAGGAGAAACCCUGAAGAACAGAAUGGGGACCUGGGACCUGCCCUGCCCCAGCAGUCCAGCGCUGGGCCCUUUGGAUUCUGGAGAAGGAUGGAGCAGCAGUGAGGCUGACCUGGGCUGCAGCUCCAAGCUUGGGGCUGGCUGACAUGGAGCUGUGGAAGGGGAUGAGGUUUUGCAGCCAAAACUUCCCAUUGCUGGAAUGCUGGCCAGGUAAAUCCCAGUGUUUUUGUGGAUCCCUGUUCUCAUUUGUGUUACAAAUGCUCAUGGCAGAAUUGACAGCAGAAGACACACACACAUGGUUAUGGAUGCAUGCAUCAAUCUGAGGCUGGAAAUGAAUUGGGUUGCAUUUAUUUUCCCUUCCUUAACCCAACUGAACUCAAUCCUGCUUUCCCAGGACUGAACACCAAUAGGAACCACUGCAGACAAGUUGUUUCCUUUUGGUAGAAGUCACACUUGAUGAAGCAGUGUGAUUUUUGGGGAACAGGCUGAGAGAGCAGAGAGGGACUGGAUGCUCUGGCAGCGCCCCAUGCAUGCUGAGCCCUCUGCUGUGGUCACCCCAGUGCCCCAGUGGGAGCCGUGCAUUGCCUCUGCUGUGUCUGGUGCCUCUCAGCCCCCCCAUGCAUCUCCAGCUGAAGGACUUGAGAGCUGAUAGAGCUUUUUAAAGUGGGGAUUAUGUAAAUGCAUAUUAUGGCGCUUUCAUAAACAGGGAUUAUUUGUCGAAUGCUUUCGAGUGCUUCCUUCGCAGCGAUUAAGGUCUGUUGUGUAAAUAGGAAUUUAGUGGCUGCUUAGCCUAAGUUCCAUUGGUUCAAUAAAAGAUGAGAGCAGCACUUUUUUUGCAUUCAUCUUGGCCUCGUGAGAACAUCUUUGGGGCACUUCUCAGAUAAUUACAUGAACAUCUACACCUACUGUCCACUGCAGGCAGCAUACCUUGCAUGUCCAUAUCGACCAUUCUCCAUUUCCCUUCCUUGCUACUUUUGUGAUUAAAUCCGUUGUCUCAGCUGCUAUUCUGUUGGUUAUCUCCCCCCAAGUUAACAAGUCUGAAAGUGUGGACGAGCAAAGCAAAAUGAGUAUUUUGCCCUCAAAUGCCAAAAGACAGAGAGGUCCAACACGUUGUACCGUGCAUUAUCCGUGCUGUAGUCGGGCAGUGCGGUGCUAUCAGUCACACAGGGAAUGAAUCCCAUCAAACAGCACCCAUGGGGCUGUUCAUUCCUGGAAGUGGGAACAGACCACGGCCAAUAUUCCUGAUGGGGCUU